AAUGUGGUGGAGCAAACCUGACUUUAACUCGAACUCUUCGGUUUUACCUUGCGCAGCCGUGGGAUAUUGGAUACACAAAGGUGCGGCAUUAUCUAAUCCCGAAGCGGCGAGCUCCUUGAGUGUUCGGUUGUUCAUGGCCAUGUCUUGCACUACUUCUCCCACUUGUGCCGUGGGUAUCUCCUCCUCUUCUGGAACUUGUUCUUCAAGGUUAGGUUCCAGGCUAAGUGGGUUGGACUCUUGUUGGUUCCUUCUUCGUCUCAAAGUUCUCUCAAAAUCGUCGUCAAAGUCCAAAAUAUGCUCACGAACAGGGUGGGAACUUCGAGUCAUGCACUAGUACCUUAAAAACAAAGAAACAAAACAGGGUCAGAAACUUCAACAAAAUAAAUGAAUGAAAAGAAGCAAUCAAAGGGAUUAGCAAAGUUGCUAAUCCCCGGCAACGGCGCCAAAUUUAAACAUUGAAAACAAAAGAAAGAAAACACCUAGACGCUCCAAUGAUCCACUUUGAACAACAAGCAUGCCUAUAGACUGUCCUCUUUCCUCUUUGCUGCGGCACAAGACUUGGGGACAUGUUUUGGGUGAUAUUUUUAUGGAGGAAUGGAUGUGAGAUGGUAUGGUAGUGUUUAGGAUAGGUGGAGGGUGCGGCAAAGGUAAGGAAUUAUGGAUGUAUGGUGAUUUGGGAGUGUAGAAUGGUGUGGAAUGUGGCUGGACGAAUUUCUGAGAUGAAAGGGGGUAUUUUUCAUGUCUCUAGUGUUCUUCCCUUCACUCCCUAUUUAUAGAAGCUCCAAAGCAAAGAAUCACUCAAG
RNAcentral lists this long non-coding RNA (803 nucleotides) under Malus domestica (apple). Its description in RNAcentral is "long non-coding RNA (MDOM_LNC014059)". The record is from RNAcentral. Lineage: Eukaryota; Viridiplantae; Streptophyta; Magnoliopsida; Rosales; Rosaceae.